AUCGUCGUCCCCCCAUCCUCUCGAGGAUAUGGGAUGGAAGCUGAUCUCUCAUGUGUUACCGCACGUGUUGGCCAAAAUCCGAGCUAAGGAUGCCAGGAGCGUCUUGACAAGCGGUGGUGAAUUCAAUUCUCGUCAUAUAGUCAGACGUUCCGGUCCAAAACCUCUUGAUGACCCAAAGUCCUCAACGCGACCCCAGGUCAGGCGGGAUCACCUGCUGAGUUUAAGCAUAACAAUAAGUAGAGGAAAAGAAACUAACAAGUAUUCCCUUAGUAACGGAGAGCGAACCGGGAAGAGCCCAGCUUGAAAAUGGACGUCUUUGAUGUUUGAAUUGUAGUCUGGAGAAGGGUCCUCAGUGAUGGACCGGGCCCAAGUUCCCUGGAAAGGGGCGCCAGAGAGGGUGAGAGCCCUGUCGUGCCCGGACCCUGUCGCACCACGAGGCGCUGUCUACGAGUCGGGUUGUUUGGGAAUGCAGCCCAAAUCGGGCGGUAAAUUUCGUCCAAGGCUAUAUAUGGGCGAGAGACGGAUAGCGAACAAGUACCGCGAGGUAAAGAUGAAAAGGACUUUGAAAAGUGAGUCAAAGAGUGCUUGAAAUUGUCGGGAGGGAAGCGGAUGGGGGCUGGCGAUUCAUCCCGGUUGGAUGCGGAACGGAGCAAUCCUGUACGCCGAUCGAUUCGGGCCGUGGACCGACACGGAUUAAGGUGGUGACCUAAGACCGGGCUUUUGUUACGCCCGCGGAGACGUUGCUGCCUUUAUUGUGGUCUGCAGCACGCGCCUCACGGCGUGCCUCGGCAUCUGCAUGCUCAGGGCGUCGGCCUGCGGGCUCCCCAUUCGACCCAUCUUGAAACACGGACCAAGGAGUCUGACAUAUGUGCGAGUCAACGGGUGAGUAAACCUUUAAGGCGCAAGGAAGCUGAUUGGCGGGAUCCCUCACGGGUGCACAGCCAUACGACCUUGAUCUUCUGAGAAGGGUUCGAGUGUGAGCAUGCCUGUCGCGACCCAAAAGAUGGUGAACUAUGCCUGAGCGGGGCAAAGCCAGAGGAAACUCUGGUGGAGGCCCGCAGCAAUACUGACGUGCAAAUAGUUCGUCUGACUUGGGUAUAGGGGCGAAAGACUAAUCGAACCAUCUAGUAGCUGGUUCCCUCAGAAGUUUCCCUCAGGAUAGCUGGAGCUCGGAAACGAGUUCUAUCGAGUAAAGCCAAUGAUUAGAGGCAUCGGGGAUGCAAUGUCCUCGACCUAUUCUCAAACUUUAAAUAGGUAGGACGGGGUGCCUGCUCUGUUGAGCCAUCCCACGGAAUCGAGAGCUGUAAGUGGGCCAUUUUUGGUAAGCAGAACUGGCGAUGCGGGAUGAACUGGAAGCCGGGUUACGGUGCCCAACUGCACGCUAACCUAGAACCCACAAAGGGUGUUGGUCGAUUAAGACAACAGGACGGUGGUCAUUGAAGUUGAAAUCCGCUAAGGAGUGUGUAAUAACUCACAUGCCGAAUCAACUAGCCCCGAAAAUGGAUGGCGCUGAAGCGUACGACCUAUACCCGGCCAUCUGGGCAAGAGCCAGGCCUCGAUGAGUAGGAGGGCGCGGCAGUCGCUGCAAAACCUAGGGCGCGAGCCCGGGCGGAGCGGCCGUCGGUGCAGAUCUUGGUGGUAGUAGCAAAUAUUCAAAUGAGAACUUUGAAGACCGAAGAGGGGAAAGGUUCCAUGUGAAUGGCACUUGCACAUGGGUUAGUUGAUCCUAAGAGUCAGAGGAAACCCGUCUGAUAGCGCUUAUGUGCGAAUUUUUAAAGGGGAUCCGGUUAAAAUUCCAGAACCGGGACGUGGCAGUUGACAGCAAUGUUAGGAAGUCCGGAGACGUCGGCGGGAAUUCCGGAAAGAGUUAUCUUUUCUGUUUAACAGCUUGCCACCCUUGAAACGGCUAAGCCGGAGGUAGGGUCCAGCGGCUGGAAGAGCACCGCACGUCGCGUGGUGUCGGGUGAAUUCCCGGUGGCCCUUGAAAAUCUGGAGGACCGAGUGCCGCUCACGCCCGGUCGUACUCAUAACCGCAUCAGGUCUUGCAACACCCCGAUCCGGCAGACUAAGCCGUGAUCGAAGUCUUACGUCGCUCGGUCUACUUCUUGGCCGAACCUCUUCAUUUUUGCCCUUUAUUUAUAAUAUUGCCUAAAGGCGACGGCUAACUUAUAUCUUAGCUAAAGACUUUCCUAGUCAUUAAUAGCUUAGAUCCUUUCAACAGAUAUGCAGCGGAUUAUUCUCUUGUUAACCAUUGGUCUAAAACCAAUUUAACACUUUUCUGGUUGAAUCACCUUAGCCUUGGUCAGUUUACUCAACUACCAAUUAGCUUAAAGGUCAAUCCUAAACCCAAACCAGUCCAUACGAUUCUGAGGUUCCAUUCCCCUAAACCAUUCUAUCUAAAUCUACAUAAUUAAAAGCUCGAUCAUACCUUUGUCACAUCUAUAGAGCUUAUUAGCUCAUCGGUUCUCCAUUGACUCAAAUUGCUCUUUCUUUAAAGCUGGACCCCAAUCACUCAAUGAUCUUACUUAAGAUCCUUAUCGUGACUCCUGCAUCAAACAACUCCCCUAGGUACUUAGUCAAUCAACCAACCAUCCCCACAGACAUAAGUAACCUUUGAGAUGUCUUUUAAAGGAUAAGGUUUGCAUCUGGCCUUUCUCGGCUCAUGCACAAUCCGAAAUCCUUUUGCCUUAUAGGCGAUUGUACCAAGUCCAUCUUCUGGACUGACAAAGCUCAUUAAAUCCUAAGUCAAUCAACCAACCUUCCUCACAUGACUUGGAACUGAUGAGUCAUCAUAUGGCCUGAUCGGCCUUGGGACUUAACCCAGACAACAUAUAUGA
Molecule: ribosomal RNA, 2837 nt
Filed under: Brassica rapa subsp. pekinensis (Chinese cabbage)
Lineage: Eukaryota; Viridiplantae; Streptophyta; Magnoliopsida; Brassicales; Brassicaceae
Source: RNAcentral